This 498-nucleotide ribosomal RNA is filed under the name uncultured bacterium. RNAcentral describes it as "partial 16S ribosomal RNA". It matches the Rfam family "Bacterial small subunit ribosomal RNA", at positions 28 to 507 of the family's 1533-position model. The record is from RNAcentral.
GACGAACGCUGGCGGCGUGCCUAAUACAUGCAAGUCGAGCGGACGAAUCGAAAGCUUGCUUUUGAUUCGUUAGCGGCGGACGGGUGAGUAACACGUGGGCAACCUGCCCUGUAGACGGGGAUAACACCGAGAAAUCGGUGCUAAUACCGGAUAACACGAAAUGUCGCAUGACGUUUCGUCGAAAGACGGCGCAAGCUGUCGCUACAGGAUGGGCCCGCGGCGCAUUAGCUAGUUGGUGAGGUAACGGCUCACCAAGGCGACGAUGCGUAGCCGACCUGAGAGGGUGAUCGGCCACACUGGGACUGAGACACGGCCCAGACUCCUACGGGAGGCAGAAGUAGGGAAUCUUCCGCAAUGGACGAAAGUCUGACGGAGCAACGCCGCGUGAGAGAAGAAGGCCUUCGGGUCGUAAAGCUCUGUUGUUAGGGAAGAACAAGUAACGCAGUAACUGGCGUUACCGUGACGGUACCUAACGAGAAAGCCACGGCUAACUACGUG